This 261-nucleotide ribosomal RNA is filed under the name uncultured archaeon. RNAcentral describes it as "partial 16S ribosomal RNA". It matches the Rfam family "Archaeal small subunit ribosomal RNA", at positions 748 to 1009 of the family's 1478-position model. The record is from RNAcentral.
UAGCCGUAAACGAUACUCGCUAGGUGUCGGCCACGGUGCGACCGUUGUCGGUGCCGUAGGGAAGCCGUGAAGCGAGCCACCUGGGAAGUACGGCCGCAAGGCUGAAACUUAAAGGAAUUGGCGGGGGAGCGCCACAACGGGUGGAGCUUGCGGUUUAAUUGGAUUCAACGCCGGAAAUCUUACCGGGACCGACAGCAACAUGAAGGCCAGGCUGAAGACUUUGCCGGAUUAGCUGAGAGGAGGUGCAUGGCGUAGUCGUGU